UACGAAGGGGGCUAGCGUUGCUCGGAAUCACUGGGCGUAAAGCGCACGUAGGCGGCUUGUUAAGUCAGGGGUGAAAUCCUGGAGCUCAACUCCAGAACUGCCUUUGAUACUGGCGAGCUUGAGUCCGGGAGAGGUGAGUGGAACUGCGAGUGUAGAGGUGAAAUUCGUAGAUAUUAGGAAGAACACCGGUGGCGAAGGCGGCCCACUGGCUCGAUACUGACGCUGAGGUGCGAAAGCGUGGGGAGCAAACAGG
This 253-nucleotide ribosomal RNA is filed under the name uncultured bacterium. Its description in RNAcentral is "partial 16S ribosomal RNA". It matches the Rfam family "Bacterial small subunit ribosomal RNA", at positions 524 to 776 of the family's 1533-position model. The record is from RNAcentral.